UUGCUUACUUUAAUGGCAUGUCUAUGAACAUUGGAAUGAUAUAGAGAAGAUUAGAAUGGCACAUGCUAAAAGAUAAUAAUGAUAACAAUGAUAAUAGUACAUAUUU
Small nuclear RNA from Monodelphis domestica (gray short-tailed opossum), 106 nucleotides. NCBI's taxonomy places the organism in Eukaryota, Metazoa, Chordata, Mammalia, Didelphimorphia, Didelphidae. The record is from Ensembl.